CCUCCCCUCUCUACAGUGCGCAGCCGCCUUGGGCGUUAUGCCACCGUCUGGUGGUAGCCGCUGGAGGUGGUGAGGUGCCGACCGAGGGCCGCCGUGGGAGGAGGCGUAGUUGCCAGCCGAGGGCCACCCUUGUGGCAGGCCACCGCCGUUAGGACGGUACCCGCCUGUGUGGUAGGUUGCCGCCGGUUGGCGGGCGCCGGCCAGAGCUGAGCCGAAGGGGCGCCGCCGAAUAGGCGACGAUGCGGGUCGUGGCCGAGGGAGGGCGCCGCCUGAGGGAGGCGCGGUCGGUGGCUGAGGGAGGGCCGGGGCCGAGGGAGGCCCUGAUGCGGGUUUUGCCGCUGCCGCUUGAGGGAGGCGCCGUCGAACGCCGCCGCGGGGAGAGGCGAGAGGCGAGGCACGUUCGUCACUGGCUGAGGGCCGGGAGCGGGCAGAGCAAGCUGCCGCUCGGGAGGUCGCCGUGGCGGGGUUGCGCGAAAUGCGUCGCCGCGCCGUGAUGGGGCCGCCGCUAGCCACAGCGUGGGUGGUCCGAAGUCGCCUUAUGGAUGGUGCGCGGGCACCGCCGGAUGGGCGGACGUCACCAGAGGGUGAACGCCGUCGGCCGCAUUCUCCGGAAGCCAAAGCAGUGGCCGGGGAUCGAGGACGAAGUCGUUGAUGACGGCGUGUAUGGUGACGACAACGUCUGUGUUGAUAUUGACUUGGUGGCCGAAGGCACAGAGGAAGAACGAGGACACUACUGUGUGAUGACACUUGGUGCAAGAAACGACGGAGAAGGAGCCCUUCAGAUUCCUUGAGCCCCAAACGAUGAUGGUCUCGGUGAUGUAACAAGAUAAGGAAUCCAUUGUGGGAUAUUUGGCUAGGGCAAUGAGCCACUUUUCAAGGAAGGACUACCUUAUGGCCACCCACAACACGGGUGCCCAUUGGAUCUUACUGGUCAUUACCACCAAGUGAAACUUGGUCUGGUAUCUCGAUUCAGCAAUACCAGUAGUAGGACCUGAUGGCAAAUAGGGAGAACGUGACUGUACUUUGGUUAAAGGAAUUCUCGAUGAGGUUUUUGACAUGUGUAAUUGUUCUGAUCCAAAGUAUGAUCCGAAGGUGCCUCGCACACUGACACAUAAGACCGUCAUCACGCUUCUACGUUGCGUGUCAUAUGCUGCUAACCAUUGCAGCAAAGGAUAUGAAAUCCCAAGAUGAAUACAGUUUCCCGGACGUCAACAUCGAGGACUCUGCACUCUUCAACAUUCGAGGACGGAUUGCCUCAUUCAUAAUGACCGAAAUCGUCUCUCAAAAAGGCGAGUUCCAUUGUAGGGACCAAACAUCUUGAAUCUUAUGUAAGGUAUUUGUAUUAUCUUGAUGUGAACUUGCGUCGUUGUACGUUUUGAUUAUAGAUAUGCAGAUAUCUCAUGACUUUUGUUGCUACAAUGUGGAUAUCUUGAAAUGCAUGGUGAUUAUGGCAUCAAUGUUAUGAGUAAUCUCGAUGUAGAUAUUUGGAUGUGUACUAUCUUGUUUGCAGGAGAAGACGGCUAUCAAAUCCUGACAUUGCUUCAGGAUCAGCCAGGAAACAGGUAAAUCCCUUCGGGGGACUCGGUCAUUAGUGACGGGUGGUAACUUCACCCAUCACUAAAGAGUGUUACCACCUGUCACUAAUGGCAGAGUCUCAGCGACGGGUACCCCCGUCACUGGUAGCGGUCAUUAGUGACGGGUGAUGACCACAACCUGUCACUGAUGAGUCUGUCAUUAGUGAAGGGUUGUGGUUAUCACCCAUCACUAAUAGCCGAGUCCCAGUAACAGGUGGAAAGUUACCCGUCACUAAUGGCCGAGUCAUUAGUGACGUGAGGAAAGCUACCUGUCACUAAUGACCGUUACCAGUGACGGGUCACAUGCCUCCUUAGGCCAUAAGAGAUGCAUGUUAGUGAUGGGUCUCAACUAUUACCCGUUACUGGUGAUCGUCAUUAGUGACGCGUUCGGAGUGACGGGUAUAUAACCUGUCACUAACGAGGGUUAUCAUCCAUCACUAAUAAACUAUUCUGACAUAGUGAUCCUUAAUUACUCUUAUGAAUUGAGGUGAGAAUUUAGAUGUCCGUUCCACGUUCAGAUGAAACAAAUCCAACCAUAUUAAUGGACCAAACUCUGCUGCAAAUCCAAAAAUAAGCGUGUUUCGCUCGAGAUCUUCAGUAUCAGUUAGGAUUUUUGAAAGCCAAUGUCCCAGUUUACGCCUUUUUCCUCUUGUUUUACAUUGCAAUUUGUGGUUCGGGGCUCCAAAAAGUCUGGAGAUUGUGCUACACACACGGUGA
Long non-coding RNA from Phragmites australis (common reed), 2291 nucleotides. RefSeq lists it as uncharacterized. NCBI's taxonomy places the organism in Eukaryota, Viridiplantae, Streptophyta, Magnoliopsida, Poales, Poaceae. The transcript is spliced from 5 exons. The record is from RefSeq and is a predicted model, not a curated record.